UGGUGUUGAUUGCGGUGAGGGUCCACCCGUUCCCAUCCCGAACACGGCAGUUAAGCUCACCUGCGCCGAAAAUACUUGGCUGGAGACGGCCUGGGAAGAUAGGUAACGCC
This 110-nucleotide ribosomal RNA is filed under the name Pseudoflavonifractor capillosus. The record is from RNAcentral. Lineage: Bacteria; Bacillati; Bacillota; Clostridia; Eubacteriales; Oscillospiraceae.